RNAcentral lists this long non-coding RNA (1693 nucleotides) under Canis lupus familiaris (dog). Its description in RNAcentral is "lncRNA (ENSCAFG00030003380.1)". Lineage: Eukaryota; Metazoa; Chordata; Mammalia; Carnivora; Canidae. The record is from RNAcentral.
AUGAAUUACCUUAAAAUAACGACAAGGAAAACCCAGCAGAGCACAGACUCCAUGGUCGUUUGUCUGUGUUGUGUCCUGAGCACUGAAUGGGGCCACACAGGACAGUCUCAGGGACCCCCCAGGCUUCACCAGGUCUCCCCCAGACUCCACCAGCUGUACAUCACUCUGGACACCUGCAGACACAAGACAUCCUGGUCAGGAAACUGUCCCACGUCCCCUGUUUCUCACUCACCUCCACUCACAGCCUCAAGCUCCAUUGCUCUCCAUGAGUUACCUUUUAAAAUAGCGACAAGGAAAACCCAGCUGAGAGUCCAUUGUGGUAUGUCCGUGUUCUGUCCUGGUCUCUGAAUGGUGUCAACUGGAGAUCCUGGGGCCUGGGCUGCUCUCCCAGCUGCAGGGUCAUUAGAGUGAGGGCCCUAUUUUCAUUUCCUCUAACUAUAGAGUCAACCCCAGACUUAGACUCAUUUUUUACAAGUUAUAUACAAGCAUUACUUCACAAUCCUAGAUCACUUUCUUUACGUGGGACAGUGGAUUUUUGAUGUUCUAACCCAUCAACAUAUUUAUCUUUACAUUUCCCUGUGCCUUUUGAAAUUCUUUCAUCAAUAUAGGUCAUUUUUUAAAGAUUUACUUAUUUAUUUGUGAUAGAUGAGAGAGAGAGAGAGAGAGAGAGAGAGAGAGAGAGAGAGAGAGAGAAAGGCAGAGACACAGGAGGAGGGAGAAGCAGGUUCCAUGCCAGGAGCCUGAUGUGGGACUCGAUCCUGGGACUCCAGGAUCGUGCCCUGGGCCAAAGGCAGGCGCUAAACCACUGAGCCACGCAGGGAUCCCCAAUAUAGGUUAUUUUUAAACAGGAUUUUCUCUCCGUAAUGAAGUUUAAUCAUAAAUAUUUAUUUUUGAUACCAGUGUAAAGUGGAUUAUUUUGCAAAUUUUAUACAGAAAAAUUUGUUGUUACUGUGUAGAAAUUAACUUUAUUGUCUAUGUUUAUUUGAUAUCAUGUAUUUUCCCUAAGCUCAUUACUUACUUCUAAGUGUUUUUCUCCAAGGAUUUUCCUCGUUUACUUUGUAUAUGCAAACACAUUGUUUUUCUUCUUGUUGACUGAUUUUAAUAUCUUUUAUUUUAUUAUUGCCUAAUUUCUAUGGUACUCUUCAAUGGCAUAGACGUUUUCCCUCUUCUCUAUCUGAUUCUUCGUUUGAAUAUUUUGUUUGAAUAUAGCAGAUCUAGGAGAGCAGAUGAAUUUCAACUUCAUGUGGAUGAGCUCACUAAUCUAUGGUGUGAUGUAGGAAUUCAGGACAGGACAGGAAGUCUGUUCACAACUUCUGCCCAAUUCUGAUUGGAGAUACUGGUGGCUGUUGCAUUUGAUAAUUCAGUGUAGAUUUGAUUUGAGCCUUUAAUCUGAUGAGACAUUUCCAAAAAUCUUCUCUCAUUCUGUAUGUUGCCUUUUAAUUACACUGAGUGAUUCCUUUGCUGUGAAAAUGUUCUUUCCUUGAUGAAGUUCCCAUAGUUCAUUUUCCUUUUCUUUCCCUUGCCUCUGCAGAUACAUCUAGAAGUGGUUGCAGCUGAUGUAGAAAAGGUGCUGCCUGUGUUCUCCUGAGGAUUCUGAUGGUUUGCUGACUCACAUUUAGAUCUUUCAUCAACUUUCAGUCCAUUGUUGUGAAUGAAGUAAGAAAAGUGCCCCCUUUCAUUCUUCUGCUGUGGG